GAUGAACGCUGGCGGUAUGCUUAACACAUGCAAGUCGAACGGACUCUUCGGAGUUAGUGGCGGACGGGUGAGUAACGCGUGAGAAUCUGCCUUUGGGUUCGGGACAACCACUGGAAACGGUGGCUAAUACCGGAUGUGCCGAGAGGUAAAAGAGAAAUUGCCUGAAGAUGAGCUGUCGUCUGAUUAGCUAGUUGGUGAGGUAAAGGCUCACCAAGCCAGCGAUCAGUAGCUGGGCUGAGGGGAUGACCAGCCACACGGGGACUGAGACACGGCCGAGACUACUACGGGAGGCAGCAGUGGGGAAUUUUCCGCAAUGGGCGAGAGCCUGACGGAGCACUACCGCGUGAGGGAAGAAGGCUCUUGGGUUGUAAAGCUCUUUUCUUAGGGAAGAACAAAAUGACGGUACCUAAGGAAUAAGCAUCGGCUAACUCCGUG
RNAcentral lists this ribosomal RNA (435 nucleotides) under uncultured bacterium. RNAcentral's name for it is "partial 16S ribosomal RNA". It matches the Rfam family "Bacterial small subunit ribosomal RNA", at positions 28 to 507 of the family's 1533-position model. The record is from RNAcentral.